AACGAACGCUGGCGGCGUGGCUAAGGCAUGCAAGUCGAACGGACCCUUACGAGGGGUAACCUGAGUUUGGGUUAGUGGCGAACGGGUAGAGGAAUGCAUGGAUAACGUACCCCAGACACGGGAUAGCGGCGGGACGCAAGUCUCUUUAGCGAAAGUGCCGGUAAUACCCGAUGACCCCGUAGGAUCGCAUGAUCCAGCGGGCAAAGCUCCGACGGUCUGUGAGCGAUCCAUGCCCAUCAGCUAGUUGGUGGGGUAACGGCCCACCAAGGCGGCGACGGGUAGCGGGCGUGAGAGCGU
Molecule: ribosomal RNA, 297 nt
Filed under: uncultured bacterium
Lineage: Bacteria
Description: partial 16S ribosomal RNA
Rfam family: Bacterial small subunit ribosomal RNA
Source: RNAcentral